GCCCUUGGAGGAGCCCGCGGCCUAUCAGCUUGUUGGUGGGGUAAUGGCCUACCAAGGCGACGACGGGUAGCCGGCCUGAGAGGGUGAUCGGCCACACUGGGACUGAGAUACGGCCCAGACUCCUACGGGAGGCAGCAGUGGGGAAUAUUGCACAAUGGGCGCAAGCCUGAUGCAGCGACGCCGCGUGGGGGAUGAAGGCCUUCGGGUUGUAAACUCCUUUCGCUAUCGACGAAGCCACUUGUGGUGACGGUAGGUAGAUAAGAAGCACCGGCUAACUACGUGCCAGCAGCCGCGGCCGAAGGGC
This 304-nucleotide ribosomal RNA is filed under the name uncultured Actinomyces sp. RNAcentral describes it as "bacterial SSU rRNA". It matches the Rfam family "Bacterial small subunit ribosomal RNA", at positions 217 to 533 of the family's 1533-position model. The record is from RNAcentral. Lineage: Bacteria; Bacillati; Actinomycetota; Actinomycetes; Actinomycetales; Actinomycetaceae.